CCCUCAGGGCGGGGGCGGGACGAGGGCCGAGCCCGGGCCUUCCCGCUCGGCUCCGGAGCUCGGACGGCGUCCCGAAGCACCCUGGCACGUUAAA
This is a microRNA precursor of Gallus gallus (chicken), 94 nucleotides long. The record is from Ensembl. NCBI's taxonomy places the organism in Eukaryota, Metazoa, Chordata, Aves, Galliformes, Phasianidae.